GGAAAAUGCAGUACACAAUGUGAUAAUUAUCAGUGAUUGUUUGCGAAAAAUAAGUUCAGCUCAACUUUCAAUGUUUUUAGUAGACUUUUGAUUUCCGCGAGAAAGGGUAAAAUGGUUCAGGAAGAGAAUUGUUAAAGCUGGGUCAUGGUAAUUGGAUUCAGCCACUGAUGGUUGAAAGGUGGAAGAGGAGAGCAAGCAGUAAGCCACAUUUGGAAAAGCAGAAGAGAAAAGCAGAAAGUCAAGUAUCAUCAGAUUCCACUAAAGCGUCUCAUGUAAAAAGCAAAGACGAGAAAGCCCCAGUAACUGCUUACAGAAAAAUAAGGUCCAAAUCAGA
This is a long non-coding RNA of Callorhinchus milii (elephant shark), 334 nucleotides long. RefSeq lists it as uncharacterized. The transcript has 4 exons. NCBI's taxonomy places the organism in Eukaryota, Metazoa, Chordata, Chondrichthyes, Chimaeriformes, Callorhinchidae. The record is from RefSeq and is a predicted model, not a curated record.